UACAGGGGGCCCGAGCGUUACUCGGAAUCACUGGGCUUAAAGGGUGCGUAGGCGGAUCAGGAAGUGUUUCGUGAAAACCCCCGGCUCAACCGGGGAAUUGCGGGGCAAACUCCUGAUCUUGAGGGAAGUAUGGGCGGACAGAACUAUCGGUGGAGCGGUGAAAUGCGUAGAUAUCGAUAGGAAUGCCGAUGGCGAAGGCGGUCCGCUGGGCUUCUCCUGACGCUCAGGCACGAAAGCGUGGGGAGCAAACAGG
Molecule: ribosomal RNA, 253 nt
Filed under: uncultured bacterium
Lineage: Bacteria
Description: partial 16S ribosomal RNA
Rfam family: Bacterial small subunit ribosomal RNA
Source: RNAcentral